GAGCACAGCCUCUAAUCCACUUGCAUCUUUUCUUAAGUAAGUGGAUUUUAAAACUUUGCAAAAGUAAAACUGCAGGUAGAAAAAGGAUUUUGAACAUACUUUGAACAUAUUCCUUGCUUGAUCUGCAAACAUGC
Molecule: small nucleolar RNA, 134 nt
Organism: Mytilus californianus (California mussel)
Lineage: Eukaryota; Metazoa; Mollusca; Bivalvia; Mytilida; Mytilidae
Source: RefSeq, a predicted model, not a curated record